RNAcentral lists this transfer RNA (91 nucleotides) under Actinomadura livida. Its description in RNAcentral is "tRNA-Ser". Lineage: Bacteria; Bacillati; Actinomycetota; Actinomycetes; Streptosporangiales; Thermomonosporaceae. The record is from RNAcentral.
CGCGCGCUGCCGCGACGGCGGGCUGCUCGCGCUGCUGCCGCGCGGCCUCGGCGUCCAGGCGUGGGCGCGGCUGUUCCACGGCGCGCACGAC